GAUGAACGCUGGCGGCGUGCCUAAUACAUGCAAGUCGAGCGAACAGACGAGGAGCUUGCUCCUCUGACGUUAGCGGCGGACGGGUGAGUAACACGUGGAUAACCUACCUAUAAGACUGGGAUAACUUCGGGAAACCGGAGCUAAUACCGGAUAAUAUAUUGAACCGCAUGGUUCAAUAGUGAAAGACGGUUUUGCUGUCACUUAUAGAUGGAUCCGCGCCGCAUUAGCUAGUUGGUAAGGUAACGGCUUACCAAGGCAACGAUGCGUAGCCGACCUGAGAGGGUGAUCGGCCACACUGGAACUGAGACACGGUCCAGACUCCUACGGGAGGCAGCAGUAGAGAAUCUUCCGCAAUGGGCGAAAGCCUGACGGAGCAACGCCGCGUGAGUGAUGAAGGUCUUCUGAUCGUAAAACUCUGUUAUUAGGGAAGAACAAAUGUGUAAGUAACUAUGCACGUCUUGACGGUACCUAAUCAGAAAGCCACGGCUAACUACGUG
Molecule: ribosomal RNA, 497 nt
Filed under: uncultured bacterium
Lineage: Bacteria
Description: partial 16S ribosomal RNA
Rfam family: Bacterial small subunit ribosomal RNA
Source: RNAcentral